GGAGGGUAUAGCUCAGUGGUAGAGUGCAUGCCUAGCAUGCAUGAGGUCCUGGGUUCAAUCCCCAGUACUUCCA
Molecule: transfer RNA, 73 nt
Filed under: Vicugna pacos (alpaca)
Lineage: Eukaryota; Metazoa; Chordata; Mammalia; Artiodactyla; Camelidae
Description: tRNA-Ala (AGC) (tRNA-Ala-AGC-304-1)
Rfam family: tRNA
About the family: Transfer RNA (tRNA) molecules are approximately 80 nucleotides in length.
Source: RNAcentral